AAGUCGUAACAAGGUUUCCGUAGGUGAACCUGCGGAAGGAUCAUUAACAACAUAUCCUAACUAAAAAACCCUGUGAACUUUCAAUGUCCCGAACCUUUGAUCCGAGGACUUCAGCAAUCUCUGGUAAAUCAUAGUGAACAGCUUUUGAUUCAGCCAUGUUCCUUUCUAGUGAAAGCUAUUGGGUUAUAACUAAACGACUGUUAACAAUGGAUAUCUCGAUUCUC
Molecule: unclassified non-coding RNA, 224 nt
Filed under: fungal sp.
Lineage: Eukaryota; Fungi
Description: partial internal transcribed spacer region
Rfam family: Eukaryotic small subunit ribosomal RNA (bases 1-46)
Source: RNAcentral